This 300-nucleotide ribosomal RNA is filed under the name uncultured Halogeometricum sp. Its description in RNAcentral is "bacterial SSU rRNA". It matches the Rfam family "Bacterial small subunit ribosomal RNA", at positions 496 to 795 of the family's 1533-position model. The record is from RNAcentral. Lineage: Archaea; Methanobacteriati; Methanobacteriota; Halobacteria; Halobacteriales; Haloferacaceae.
GCGAACGCCGUGCAGUGUGCAGGGGUAAUGGGGAGGGUGGCAUGGGUAAGCGGAAUGACUGGGUGGAAAGUGGGUGUAGGCGGUUGGGUAAGUUAGUGGUGAAAUGCCUGUGCUCAACGUAGGCGCUGCCGUCACAACUGCCGAACUUUAGCAUGGUAGGGGCAGAUGGAAUUCCCGGUGUAGCGGUGGAAUGCGUAGAGAUCGGGAGGAAUACCAGUGGCGAAGGCGUUCUGCUGGGCCGUUGCUGACGCUGGAGCGCGACAGCGUGGGGAGCAAACAGGAUUAGAUACCCCAGUAGUC